UACACGACCGUACCGCAAACCGACACUGGUGCGCGAGAUGAGUAUUCUAAGGCGCUUGAGAGAACUCAGGAGAAGGAACUCGGCAAAUUGACACCGUAACUUCGGAAGAAGGUGUGCCUUUAGUAGGUGAACCUGUACAAGGGGAGCCCAAUGAGGUUGCAAAAAAUCGGUGGCUGCGACUGUUUAAUAAAAACACAGCACUCUGCAAACACGAAAGUGGACGUAUAGGGUGUGACGCCUGCCCGGUGCUGGAAGAUUAAAUGAUGGGGUGCAAGCUCUUGAUUGAAGUCCCAGUAAACGGCGGCCGUAACAAUAACGGUCCUAAGGUAGCGAAAUUCCUUGUCGGGUAAGUUCCGACCUGCACGAAUGGCGUAACGAUGGCCACACUGUCUCCUCCUGAGACUCAGCGAAGUUGAAAUGUUUGUGAUGAUGCAAUCUCCCCGCGGAAAGACGGAAAGACCCCAUGAACCUUUACUGUAGCUUUGUAUUGGACUUUGAACAGAUCUGUGUAGGAUAGGUGGGAGGCUUUGAAGUGUGGUCGCUAGAUCGCAUGGAGCCAACGUUGAAAUACCACCCUGGUGUGUUUGAGGUUCUAACCUAGGCCCGUAAUCCGGGUCGGGGACAGUGCAUGGUAGGCAGUUUGACUGGGGCGGUCUCCUCCCAAAGCGUAACGGAGGAGUUCGAAGGUACGCUAGGUACGGUCGGACAUCGUGCUAAUAGUGCAAUGGCAUAAGCGUGCUUAACUGCGAGACUGACAAGUCGAGCAGAUGCGAAAGCAGGACAUAGUGAUCCGGUGGUUCUGUAUGGAAGGGCCAUCGCUCAACGGAUAAAAGGUACUCUGGGGAUAACAGGCUGAUACCGCCCAAGAGUUCAUAUCGACGGCGGUGUUUGGCACCUCGAUGUCGGCUCAUCUCAUCCUGGGGCUGUAGCCGGUCCCAAGGGUAUGGCUGUUCGCCAUUUAAAGAGGUACGUGAGCUGGGUUUAAAACGUCGUGAGACAGUUUGGUCCCUAUCUUCCGUGGGCGCUGCAGAUUUGAGGAAGCCUGCUCCUAGUACGAGAGGACCGGAGUGGACACACCUCUGGUGUAUCGGUUGUCACGCCAGUGGCAUUGCCGAGUAGCUAUGUGUGGAAGAGAUAACCGCUGAAAGCAUCUAAGCGGGAAACUCGUUUCAAGAUGAGAUCUGCCGGGGCCUUGAGCCCCCUAAAGAGUCGUUCAAGACCAGGACGUUGAUAGGUCGGGUGUGGAAGCGCAGUAAUGCGUUAAGCUAACCGAUACUAAUUGCUCGUGCGGCUUGAC
This 1297-nucleotide ribosomal RNA is filed under the name metagenome. RNAcentral's name for it is "bacterial LSU rRNA". It matches the Rfam family "Bacterial large subunit ribosomal RNA", at positions 1635 to 2925 of the family's 2925-position model. The record is from RNAcentral.